This 490-nucleotide ribosomal RNA is filed under the name uncultured bacterium. RNAcentral describes it as "bacterial SSU rRNA". It matches the Rfam family "Bacterial small subunit ribosomal RNA", at positions 29 to 507 of the family's 1533-position model. The record is from RNAcentral.
AGUGAACGCUGGCGGCAGGCCUAAUACAUGCAAGUCGAACGGCAGCACAGCAGAGCUUGCUCUGUGGGUGGCGAGUGGCGGACGGGUGAGGAAUACAUGGGAAUCUGCCCAGUCGUGGGGGAUAACGUAGGGAAACUUACGCUAAUACCGCAUGCGCCCUUCGGGGGAAAGCCGGGGACCUUCGGGCCUGGCGCGAUUGGAUGAGCCCAUGUCGGAUUAGCUAGUUGGCGGGGUAAAGGCCCACCAAGGCGACGAUCCGUAGCUGGUCUGAGAGGAUGAUCAGCCACACUGGAACUGAGACACGGUCCAGACUCCUACGGGAGGCAGCAGUAGGGAAUAUUGGACAAUGGGCGCAAGCCUGAUCCAGCCAUGCCGCGUGAGUGAAGAAGGCCCUCGGGUUGUAAAGCUCUUUUGUCCGGAAAGAAAAGCGCCGGGUUAAUACCCUGGUGUCCUGACGGUACCGGAAGAAUAAGCACCGGCUAACUUCGUG